This 670-nucleotide long non-coding RNA is filed under the name Mytilus galloprovincialis (Mediterranean mussel). Lineage: Eukaryota; Metazoa; Mollusca; Bivalvia; Mytilida; Mytilidae. The record is from RNAcentral.
AGAAACCGAAAAAGGAAAUGAAUAUUGAAAAAGGAAAAAGAAACCGAAUUAGGAAAUGAAAAUCGAAUAAGGAAAUGGAAAUCGAAUAAGGAAACGAAAAUCCAAUUAGGAAAUAGAAACUGAAUAAGGAAAUAGAAACCAAAAAAGGAAAUGAAUAUUGAAAAAGGAAAAAGAAACCGAAUAAGGAAAUGAAAAUCGAAUAAGGAAAUGGAAAUCGAAUAAGGAAAUGAAAAUCCAAUAAGGAAAUAGAAACUGAAUAAGGAAAUAGAAACCGAAUAAGGAAAUGAAUAUUGAAAAAAUAAAAAAGAAACCGAAUAAGGAAAUGAAAAUUGAAUAAGGAAAUGAAAAUCGAAUAAGGAAAUGAAAAUCCAAUAAGGAAAUAGAAACCGAAUAAGGAAAUAGACACCGAAAAAGGAAAUGAAUAUUGAAAAAGGAAAAAGAAACCGAAUAAGGAAAAGAAAAUCGAAUAAGGAAAUGAAAAUCGAAUAAGGAAAUGGAAAUCGAAUAAGGAUGAUAAUCGAAAAAGGAAAAAGAAAACGAAUAAGGAAAUGAAAAAAAAUUUGAAGAAAAACUUUUUGAGGAAAAAUAUUUUGAGGAAAAAAAAAUUUGAGGAAAAAAAAUUUAGAGCAAAAAAAAAUUGAGGAAAAAAAAAUUUUGAGGAAAAAAAAUU